AGCGGCAGACCUAACACAUGCAAGUCGAGCGGCAUCGGAAAAAGAGGAUUUAUCCUCUUUUUGUCGGCAAGCGGCGAACGGGUGAGUAAUAUCUGGGGAUCUACCCAAUGGAGGGGGAUAACUACUGGAAACGGUAGCUAAUACCGCAUAAUGUCACAUGACCAAAAUGGGGGACCUUUUUUGGCCUCAUGCCAUCGGAUGAACUCAGAUGGGAUUAGCUAGUAGGUGUGGUAAUGGCUCACCUAGGCAACGAUCCCUAGCUGGUCUGAGAGGAUGACCAGCCACACUGGAACUGAGACACGGUCCAGACUCCUACGGGAGGCAGCAGUGGGGAAUAUUGCACAAUGGGGGAAACCCUGAUGCAGUCAUGCCGCGUGUGUGAAGAAGGCCUUAGGGUUGUAAAGCACUUUCAAUAGGAAAGAAGUUAAUAAUGUAAAUAGCGUUAUUAAUUGACGUUACCUAUAGUAAGAAGCACCGGCUAACUCCGUGCCAGCAGCCGCGGUAAUACGGAGGGUGCAAGCGUUAAUCGGAAUUACUGGGCGUAAAGAGUACGUAGGCGGUUUGUUAAGUCAGAUGUGAAAUCCCUGGGCCUAACCUAGGAACUGUGUUUGAAACUGGCAAACUAGAGUUUCGUAGAGGGGGGUAGAAUUCCAGGUGUAGCGGUGAAAUGCGUAGAGAUCUGGAGGAAUAUCAGUGGCGAAGGCGGCCCCCUGGACGAAAACUGACGCUCAGGUACGAAAGCGUGGGGAGCAAACAGGAUUAGAUACCCUGGUAGUCCAUGCCGUAAACGAUGUCGAUUUGAAGGUUGUAGUCUUAGAACUAUUGGCUUUCGAAGCUAACGCGUUAAAUCGACCGCCUGGGGAGUACGACCGCAAGGUUAAAACUCAAAUGAAUUGACGGGGGCCCGCACAAGCGGUGGAGCAUGUGGUUUAAUUCGAUGCAACGCGAAGAACCUUACCUACUCUUGACAUCCAAAGAAUUUAGCAGAGAUGCUUUAGUGCCUUAGGGAACUUUGAGACAGGUGCUGCAUGGCUGUCGUCAGCUCGUGUUGUGAAAUGUUGGGUUAAGUCCCGCAACGAGCGCAACCCUUGCCCUUUGUUGCCAUCGAUACGGUCGGGAACUCAAAGGAGACUGCCAGUGACAAACUGGAGGAAGGUGGGGACGACGUCAAGUCAUCAUGGCCCUUACGAGUAGGGCUACACACGUGCUACAAUGGUGUAUACAAAGAGAAGCGGUCUUGCGAAAGUUAGCCAAUCUCAUCAAAGUACAUCGUAGUCCAGAUUGAAGUCUGCAACUCGACUUCAUGAAGUCGGAAUCGCUAGUAAUCGUGUAUCAGAAUGUCACGGUGAAUACGUUCCCGGGCCUUGUACACACCGCCCGUCACACCAUGGGAGUGGAUUGCAAAAGAAGUGAGUAGCUUAACCGUAAAUGGAGGGCGCUUACCACUUUGUGGUUCAUGACUGGGGUG
RNAcentral lists this ribosomal RNA (1468 nucleotides) under Candidatus Curculioniphilus buchneri. RNAcentral describes it as "bacterial SSU rRNA". It matches the Rfam family "Bacterial small subunit ribosomal RNA". The record is from RNAcentral. Lineage: Bacteria; Pseudomonadati; Pseudomonadota; Gammaproteobacteria; Enterobacterales; Enterobacteriaceae.